GAUGGUAGAGCUCGGUGGUAGAGCGUGUGCUUAGCAUGCAUGAGGUCCUAAGUUCGAUCCCCAGUACCUCCA
RNAcentral lists this transfer RNA (72 nucleotides) under Camelus bactrianus (Bactrian camel). It matches the Rfam family "tRNA". From Rfam's summary of the family: Transfer RNA (tRNA) molecules are approximately 80 nucleotides in length. Their secondary structure includes four short double-helical elements and three loops (D, anti-codon, and T loops). RNAcentral also lists the same sequence under 1 other name. Lineage: Eukaryota; Metazoa; Chordata; Mammalia; Artiodactyla; Camelidae. The record is from Rfam by way of RNAcentral.